Chiloscyllium plagiosum (whitespotted bambooshark) is the source of this 400-nucleotide non-coding RNA. NCBI's taxonomy places the organism in Eukaryota, Metazoa, Chordata, Chondrichthyes, Orectolobiformes, Hemiscylliidae. The record is from RefSeq and is a predicted model, not a curated record.
UGUUCAGGGCUAUUGCCUGUUGUAUAAAAACAGGAGUUCAUGUGGUUUCGAUAGUCAGAAAACAGCGAUGGCUCUCGUUGAGCUCCUCCUCCUUUUCUGCAUAUCUCCAGUUUGGGCCACAAUGUCAUGUCACCUGUGUGAGAACAUCUCCCUAAAGCUCCAGUCGCAAUGGAAGGAAGGUGUAGACAUGGAAACACUGCAGCAGGAAGUCUGCAACUCGCUGCCUCAUGAGUCCAAUUUGGUGGAAGGAUAAUAUUAAUUUUGAAAAGGAGCAAGGAAAGAUUUACAAGGCUGUUACCGAGACUGGAAGGUAUGAGUUAUAACGCGAGACUGGGAAGGUUGGGAAGUUUUUUUUCCUAGAGUUUAAGAGGAUGAGUGGGUACCAUAAAGAAAUGUAGUA